Molecule: transfer RNA, 63 nt
Filed under: Breviscolex orientalis
Lineage: Eukaryota; Metazoa; Platyhelminthes; Cestoda; Caryophyllidea; Capingentidae
Description: tRNA-Asp
Source: RNAcentral
GCCCUCGUAGUUUAUGAGAAUGCUAGUUUGUCUAAUUAGAGGAGGGGUUAAACCCCGGGGGUG